RNAcentral lists this long non-coding RNA (1047 nucleotides) under Chinchilla lanigera (long-tailed chinchilla). Its description in RNAcentral is "lncRNA (ENSCLAG00000025069.1)". Lineage: Eukaryota; Metazoa; Chordata; Mammalia; Rodentia; Chinchillidae. The record is from RNAcentral.
GACGCACAGGACUUCUGCUUUGAGAAAGGAAAUAACAACGAGUUUUGCGGUUAGCACAAACUUUGAAAGUGGCUCAACAUGCUUUUAUCCCAAACUCUGGGCUAAGAGAAUUACUAGGACUGAACUGGAGGAGAAACCCUGCAGUCAUUUCUGCUUUGUGUUCCUUCGAGGGCUUGGAAACAGAAAGAGGUGUUUCAGAGACCUCAGCGGAGAAGAACCUUUCCUGGCUGCCUUUCAGCGCCGGCUUCCUCCUCUACAAAUAGCGCAUUACUGUGGUAAAAGGCAGCACUUUUACAUCAGCAGUGCUGCCGUCAUCGCCCUGAAUGCCAGCCUUGGGAAUUCUGACCUUUGUGUAGCAAAGCAUGUUCUACCCUUUGGCAGUUAAUAGGCGAAGGCAGACACAACGCUUCUAACUCGCAGAAAGAUUGAGCUCUCCCUUGGAUCAGGAAUUCAAGGGACAUUUACAUCACUUAUGCUAGUGUAAGUUCUUGAUAACGGUGUUUGAAAUUGCCCGUGCCCUUUCAUCAGGAGCCUGCAAGAACAUUGCCUUUUCUGGGAGGAGCAUUAAACAUGGAAGUUUUAACUCUCCUAAGAGAGCAGAUGUCUGGUCGACCUGAUGGAUUCACCGCAAAGAGAGUCCAGGAGAAAGAAUGCCCAAGGAGGAUUGGCAGUGAGUGAGGAGGGGUAAAUGUCCUGUUAUUUGUGAGGAGAGGACGGUAAUGUAGCAAAACAGUGAUUAGUUACAUAAUUUUAACUUCUCAAUUUCUAAAUAUGGCCACACGUGAUCAAGGGCUGCAGAUAUUGGGUAUAGAGUGAAGGAUACCUUUGUAUACUGAUUCUAAUAAAGCUGGAUCUGUGAAAUGACCAUUUUUGUUAUCUUUCUUCGUAUUCUCAUUCUUGGCCUUCCCCCUCUGACAUUUAUACCAAUGACUCCACAAUCCUUUGUGGAAGAAACAGUUGCUACAUCAUGAUUUAUAUCUUCUUUGUCAUUGUAUGAAACAUUCCAUCGGAGACCCUGGAAAUUCUUUCUGACAAGUCUGAUAAAAC